RNAcentral lists this ribosomal RNA (440 nucleotides) under uncultured bacterium. Its description in RNAcentral is "partial 16S ribosomal RNA". It matches the Rfam family "Bacterial small subunit ribosomal RNA", at positions 338 to 795 of the family's 1533-position model. The record is from RNAcentral.
CCUACGGGUGGCUGCAGUGGGGAAUCUUGGACAAUGGGGGCAACCCUGAUCCAGCGAUGCCGCGUGAGUGAAGAAGGCCUUUGGGUUGUAAAGCUCUUUCACCUGUGACGAUAAUGACGGUAACAGGAGAAGAAGCCCCGGCUAACUCCGUGCCAGCAGCCGCGGUAAGACGGAGGGGGCUAGCGUUGUUCGGAAUGACUGGGCGUAAAGGGCGCGUAGGCGGUCUGUCAAGUCAGGCGUGAAAUCCUUGGGCUUAACCUUAGAAGUGCGUUUGAUACUGAUAGACUAGAGGACGAGAGAGGAAAGUGGAAUUCCGAGUGUAGAGGUGAAAUUCGUAGAUAUUCGGAGGAACACCAGAGGCGAAGGCGGCUUUCUGGCUCGUACCUGACGCUGAGGCGCGAAAGCGUGGGGAGCAAACAGGAUUAGAUACCCCUGUAGUC